UACGUAGGGGGCAAGCAUUGUCCGGAAUUAUUGGGCGUAAAGAGCGUGUAGGCGGUCCGGUAAGUCAGCUGUGAAAGUCAAGGGCUCAACCCUUGAAUGCCGGUUGAUACUGUCGGGCUAGAGUUCGGAAGAGGCGAGUGGAAUUCCCGGUGUAGCGGUGAAAUGCGCAGAUAUCGGGAGGAACACCAAUGGCGAAGGCAGCUCGCUGGGACGGUACUGACGCUGAGACGCGAAAGCGUGGGGAGCAAACAGG
This 253-nucleotide ribosomal RNA is filed under the name uncultured bacterium. RNAcentral describes it as "partial 16S ribosomal RNA". It matches the Rfam family "Bacterial small subunit ribosomal RNA", at positions 524 to 776 of the family's 1533-position model. The record is from RNAcentral.